UAGGUGGAAGCCCGCUGGUUUAGGCAUCUAGCUGUUAAUUAGAAUUUUACGGGAUCAAGGCCCGUCUACCUAG
Molecule: transfer RNA, 73 nt
Filed under: Galbula dea
Lineage: Eukaryota; Metazoa; Chordata; Aves; Piciformes; Galbulidae
Description: tRNA-Asn
Rfam family: tRNA
About the family: Transfer RNA (tRNA) molecules are approximately 80 nucleotides in length. Their secondary structure includes four short double-helical elements and three loops (D, anti-codon, and T loops).
Source: RNAcentral